UGGCCUUGACAUACUAAGAACUUUCCAGAGAUGGAUUGGUGCCUUCGGGAACUUAGAUACAGGUGCUGCAUGGCUGUCGUCAGCUCGUGUCGUGAGAUGUUGGGUUAACGUCCGCAACGAGCGCAACCUUUUCCUUAUUUGCCAGCGGGUAAUGCCGGGAACUUUAAGGAUACUGCCAGUGACAAACUGGAGGAAGGCGGGGACGACGUCAAGUCAUCAUGGCCCUUACGGCCAGGGCUACACACGUGCUACAAUGGUCGGUACAAAGGGUUGCUACCUCGCGAGAGGAUGCUAAUCUCAAAAAGCCGAUCGUAGUCCGGAUCGCAGUCUGCAACUCGACUGCGUGAAGUCGGAAUCGCUAGUAAUCGCGGAUCAGAAUGCCGCGGUCGAAUACGUUCCCGGGCCUUGUACACACCGCCCGUCACACCAUGGGAGUUUGUUGCACCAGAAGUAGGUAGUCUAACCGCAAGGAGGACGCUUACCACGGUGUGGCCGAUGACUGGGGUGAAGUCGUAACAAGGUAGGCGUAGAUGA
RNAcentral lists this ribosomal RNA (534 nucleotides) under uncultured bacterium. Its description in RNAcentral is "bacterial SSU rRNA". It matches the Rfam family "Bacterial small subunit ribosomal RNA", at positions 976 to 1509 of the family's 1533-position model. The record is from RNAcentral.